AUACAUUAAAUUGAUUACUUGCUCGCACCCAUAGCUUAUCAUUAAUUUACAAUUAAAAAAAAUUGAAACACAUACAGACCAGCCAUAGUUUACCAGGAUGUUUCAAUGAACUUACUAGAUUUUACAGGCCAGCAGUUUCCUCUUGUACAGAAAAGUCAAACACGUGCGGGUAAGGGCAUUCAUGAAGCUCUAAAGCAAUUUUUUCCAUGAAUUGUCAUGUAACAGCAACUUUCUUUAGAUCCCAAAUAAACAUCCAGUCGUUGGCAAGCAACGCCUCCAGACAUUUACACUCUUGAUCAAAGUUUAUUCUAGCGUCACAUCACUGUCCCAGGCCUCAAAUUAUUAAUCCUUCAUGAUACAUCGGGAGGAUAGCGAUCUCGAGUUUUCCGAAGUUUAACUCUAGUUUUCACCAAUCAUCAAGAAUUUAUGAACCAAAUAGUGCACGGAAAAAGAACCUAAUGGUUCAGAGGCUCAAAUCCAUGCAUGCAAUGAAAUCCAUGGUCACAAAUACCAAUGUCCCAGUUGAGGAAAAAGUUAUCAACUAUAUUCAUGUAGAUAAUUUUGGGGCGAGGCUGGCAAUCUUGCAUUAGAUGUAAUUUGAGUACACGAAUUGCAUCAAUAGAUCACAUUCAAAAUUAAAUCUUGUUAUACUUGACAAAAAGCAUCGCAUGCCAAAAAAAAAUGUUAUAACAAAAACAGGAAAUGCAUCACUUGUGGUGAUCUUUCUUUCAGCAUAACUUCAAGCGUAGAUUGUAAUCAAGUAAAACUGGAGAUAGGACGAGGCAGGUGCGCAAACACGUUAAUUCAAUUCCAUGGAAAAUGGGCAUAACCAACACUUAAUACCAGAUAUUGCACAACGCUUAUAACGCACCAUGAGCUGCAUGACACAAAGAAGCAGCAGAAAGAAACGGAAAACAACAUCAAUUUUUUCACAAAAAAGCUAGGAUAUGCGGUAACGAAUCGAAAUUAGUAAAAUAUACUAGAGCACAAGCUUCUCUUAACUUUCCCACUAAAUUCUCUCAAUGCACUGAGAGAAAUUAUCUAGAAGGGCACUUCGAGAAAAUGUCAAUGACUUGAUUAUUUGAUUGUUGCGAGUAAUUCUAUAUGCAUGAAAUUCAGCACUUCCAAAAUCAAUUUGCGUCGGUCAUCCUGUUUCCCUAAAAAACCGACAAACCCUACAAACAAAACUGGUAUUUCAUCCACUUUUUUCAUGAAUUUAAUUGAUAUAUGAACUUCCACCGAUUCAUGGGCUCACAACAAAUAAUAAUAGUAAAAAUAUUUAAACCAUCAAAUGUAAGAAAUGUGAGAUGGAAUCAGUAGACAAAGCGGGAAAAAGGACCCGUCAUCUGUGGAUACCAUCCCUACGGUUGUCUGGCCGCUGCCUAAUUACCUCACCAUUUUCCAAACAACAAAUUUUCUGCUAUUGGAAAACAAGUAAAGUAAUCAGACUUUCUAUAUCGCACAGUUGUUAAAUGAGAAAACUAAACCAAAAAUCUGUUUUCCCAUAACGAAAACAACAGAUGCAAAUCAAAAUGCUUAUAAAAAAACUAAGUGAACGAAAAAACUCAAAUAUCUAAUGAAUUUGACAUGCGGGCUCAUAUCAAGUGUAAGAUUUAAAAGGCCUGUCAUUGUGGAAAAACCCAAAAAGCGUGAACGGUUGAAAAAAUGAGAAAAAAGGGA
Long non-coding RNA from Populus euphratica (Euphrates poplar), 1680 nucleotides. RefSeq lists it as uncharacterized. The transcript has 2 exons. The record is from RefSeq and is a predicted model, not a curated record. Lineage: Eukaryota; Viridiplantae; Streptophyta; Magnoliopsida; Malpighiales; Salicaceae.